RNAcentral lists this long non-coding RNA (928 nucleotides) under Equus asinus (donkey). Its description in RNAcentral is "lncRNA (ENSEASG00005027277.1)". The record is from RNAcentral. Lineage: Eukaryota; Metazoa; Chordata; Mammalia; Perissodactyla; Equidae.
GGAGUUUUCACUUCAAUGGAGGCAAACGGGGAUGCGUGUGUCAGUGUGUGUGCGAUAUACAUAUCACGGGCAAGUGUCUGACCUGAAAGUGUCCGCGACCAACUUGAAUUAAAUCCCUGGGGGUUGUUUGCAGAGACCCGGAGGAGGAAGUUGCCAAGGCCGACUUGGUGACCUGACUUGGUAGGGCCAAAGUUAGAAAAAACCAAACCCCUGUAGGACGUUGAGGCGGUCCAGGUCCAGGCUGCAGAGUGCCCACGCUCACAUCUGCCCCCACCUGGGGGGCAGGGAGCGGGGCCCAAGUGUCCCGGGAAAAGGCGGGAGCAGGGGGCGCAGGCUUAGAUGCGCGGGUUUCGGGCCGGCAGCUCGGCGCGCGUGGCGGUGGUGCGCGCCUCCGCCCUGCGCGGUCCCCGGGCAGCCCUAGCUGGGUCCUGAGCGUCCGGAGCGUGUUCCGGGAAGGUGACUCAGCGACGCGCUCAAGGGUCGAGAAACCCCGCGAAACUAGGGACAAGAGGAGGGAGCUGGGGUGUCGUCACCCUCUCGCAGCGCUGCGUGUCCGCCGAGCGAGAAGUCUGGGCUUUGGCUCCUAGAAGACGGGGGACGUGGAGCAGUGCUCUCCGAAAUCUCAGGUUUGGGGGGAGGUGGCUGCGGAGACGGCCAAGGCAGCUUCCUCCUUCUUCUCCCCCGCUCAGGAGGGACCCUUCCAUCAGGCCUGAAAAGCUGCCGUCUUAAACCUUGGAGUCUGAUGGGAAACUGAGGCACAGGGAAGGGAACGCCUGGCUGUGCAUGAGUCCGUGAAACUCACCCAUCAGUGUCCCUAGCCCAAGAGACAGAAUUGGGCAAGAGCAAGAUGCUCUUCCUCUUUCAACGAUUGGGGAAACUGAAACCCUGAGAGGUGAAAGGUCUUCCCCAAGCUGCCAAACCAGUUCCC